Molecule: ribosomal RNA, 434 nt
Filed under: uncultured Roseburia sp.
Lineage: Bacteria; Bacillati; Bacillota; Clostridia; Lachnospirales; Lachnospiraceae
Description: partial 16S ribosomal RNA
Rfam family: Bacterial small subunit ribosomal RNA
Source: RNAcentral
ACGGAAGGCAGCAGUGGGGAAUAUUGCACAAUGGGCGAAAGCCUGAUGCAGCGACGCCGCGUGAGUGAUGAAGUAUUUCGGUAUGUAAAGCUCUAUCAGCAGGGAAGAUAAUGACGGUACCUGACUAAGAAGCACCGGCUAAAUACGUGCCAGCAGCCGCGGUAAUACGUAUGGUGCAAGCGUUAUCCGGAUUUACUGGGUGUAAAGGGAGCGCAGGCGGUACGGCAAGUCUGAUGUGAAAGCCCGGGGCUCAACCCCGGUACUGCAUUGGAAACUGUCGAACUAGAGUGUCGGAGGGGUAAGUGGAAUUCCUAGUGUAGCGGUGAAAUGCGUAGAUAUUAGGAGGAACACCAGUGGCGAAGGCGACUUACCGGACGAUAACUGACGCUGAGGCUCGAAAGCGUGGGGAGCAAACAGGAUUAGAUACCCUGGUA